UCCAGACUCCUACGGGAGGCAGCAGUGGGGAAUAUUGCACAAUGGGGGAAACCCUGAUGCAGCGACGCCGCGUGAGUGAAGAAGUAAUUCGUUAUGUAAAGCUCUAUCAGCAGGGAAGAAAUGACGGUACCUGACUAAGAAGCCCCGGCUAACUACGUGCCAGCAGCCGCGGUAAUACGUAGGGGGCAAGCGUUAUCCGGAUUUACUGGGUGUAAAGGGAGCGUAGGCGGCGAUGCAAGUCUGAAGUGAAAGGCGGGGGCCCAACCCCCGGACUGCUUUGGAAACUGUAUAGCUGGAGUGCAGGAGAGGUAAGUGGAAUUCCUAGUGUAGCGGUGAAAUGCGUAGAUAUUAGGAGGAACACCAGUGGCGAAGGCGGCUUACUGGACGGUAACUGACGGUGAGGCGCGAAAGCGUGGGGAGCAAACAGGAUUAGAUACCCUUGUA
RNAcentral lists this ribosomal RNA (444 nucleotides) under uncultured bacterium. Its description in RNAcentral is "bacterial SSU rRNA". It matches the Rfam family "Bacterial small subunit ribosomal RNA", at positions 330 to 792 of the family's 1533-position model. The record is from RNAcentral.